RNAcentral lists this ribosomal RNA (253 nucleotides) under uncultured bacterium. Its description in RNAcentral is "partial 16S ribosomal RNA". It matches the Rfam family "Bacterial small subunit ribosomal RNA", at positions 524 to 776 of the family's 1533-position model. The record is from RNAcentral.
UACGUAGGUGGCAAGCGUUGUCCGGAAUUACUGGGUGUAAAGGGCGUGUAGGCGGGAAUGUAAGUCAGAUGUGAAAUCCCGGGGCUCAACUCCGGAGCUGCAUCUGAAACUAUAUUUCUUGAGUGCUGGAGAGGAAAGCGGAAUUCCUAGUGUAGCGGUGAAAUGCGUAGAGAUUAGGAGGAACACCAGUGGCGAAGGCGGCUUUCUGGACAGUAACUGACGCUGAGGCGCGAAAGCGUGGGGAGCAAACAGG